Molecule: long non-coding RNA, 542 nt
Organism: Drosophila mauritiana
Lineage: Eukaryota; Metazoa; Arthropoda; Insecta; Diptera; Drosophilidae
Exons: 3
Source: RefSeq, a predicted model, not a curated record
AUAAAAUGGUUUUCAAUUCGAUGGUACCAGUCCCGUUGGACGAGAGGAUUGCAUCGUUUUGGACACAAAUGUUCUCUUGCAAACUAAUCUAAUGAAGCCUGUUCUGCAUAUGAUACACUGUUAUUGGAUUAUCUAAAAUGCAAACUAAUAAAGAUCGUUCCGCCUACACUUUGUUAACAGUCUGAACAACCUACGAGAGAUAAAACGAUGGUACCAGUCCCGUUUGACGAGCGGAUUUCUUCGUUUUGGUUACAUCUGUUGCGCUCGUAUUCAAUGCUAACAUAUUGCUUGCCUUACCCUCAUCCUCAUACGCUAAUGGAUUGCCUCGCCUCUCUAUGAUUAGUUGGAUUGCCCCAAAUGCAAACUAAUGAAAAGAUCGUUCCGCAUAUUCAAGGUAAAUCUAAUUCAAAUUGUUGUUACCGGUCCCGUUGGACAAGAAGAUUGCAUCGAUUUGAUGCUCCGUCGUUGCCACGUGCCCAACAUUCACAUUUCGCUUGUCAUUGUCUGAAUAAACGUUGUUCAUCGAUCGUAAAUUGGAAAUU